This is a long non-coding RNA of Lolium perenne, 2808 nucleotides long. RefSeq lists it as uncharacterized. The record is from RefSeq and is a predicted model, not a curated record. Lineage: Eukaryota; Viridiplantae; Streptophyta; Magnoliopsida; Poales; Poaceae.
UCCGCUCUCACCCGCCUCCCACGUCCUCCUCUCCCCUCGCGCCCCUCCCAUCAAGCCCUAUCCAACCGGGAACGGGCUGGUCGGUACUCCUCGCCCCGCCGCCACCUCGCCUCGCCGCCACCUCGCCCCGCGCUCCAGUCCCGCCGCCACCUCGCGCUCCUCUUCUUCCCCACGGUGUCCUCCUUUGCACCGCCGCCGGACAUCCUUUCAUCCAAUCCCGCAUCGUCCAAACCUCCUCUCAUUCCCGCAUCGUCCCGCAUCCUCCCAUGCCCUUCGCCCCCAGUACAAGACCCAGCCGCCCCACCGUCUUCUCCGCCAACCACGCCUCCGCCACCGAGCACCUCGGCGCACUGCUCCGCCAUCGAGCGCUCCUGCUCCGUCCAGCACGGCGUGCCCAAUGCGCUAGGGUUUCUGGUCGCCUGGACGGCGAGGAAGUGGAUCACCCCCUCGUCGGCGGCGUGGAAGACUUGCGCGACGUGGAGCAGCACCCAGUGCGGGAGCCGUCGUGGCGGUAGUCGAAGACUACCCAGCUCGCCCAUCUCACGUUUUGCUUUUCCUCUCUCUCAGCUUCCCUUGACUCCUCUCUCUCACCUCUUCCCCCAGAUCCGCCGCCGCCUCGCCGUGCUCACCAUCUGUUCCAUCGAUCCCACCUGGUUUUUCCACAAUGAAGGUCCUUCGCCAUGGAUUUGGUGAGGUAGUGGCCUGGUUGACCGGUGGGGAUUUUAUUCGUUGGGGAUUUGAUUCCUCUGCUUCCUUUUGGUCUUUUCUGCUGGGUUGUUUGUUUCUUUGACCUCUGUCUCCAUCAAGUCUUUCUUCUCUUUUUGUUUCUUUAUUUCAUCUAUUUAAAGCUCCGUCUCAGUGAUGAAUGAAUUGAGGGAUGGAAGACCAGAAUUGAUUUCAUUCAUUAUCUAUUGUCAUUGCUAAACAAGUAUUUCUUUCAGUGGCUCAUCACUAUUGUUUCUACUUCUGUGAACUUUGAAUAGGUGAAUACUUUUUAUUAGUCUGCUUUUACUAUUGGUUUAGGAUGUGCACUUCUGUUGUACUGUAAGAGUGCUCGAUUUCACUCCUAAUCACCAGUGGUUUGGUGCCUCCUCUAUACACUAGAAAUCAUCUAAGCCACAUUCUACUUUCAUACUACACGAGUCAUGCAUGUGUAGCCAACCUAAUUGCUCUAAUGACUAAUGAGGUAGUUUAUCUCAAGCCUAUUUAGAAAUCCUUCCAAAGACUCUUCUGCUAUUGAUGUGCUUCCCCGUGAGUAUUCCAGGUAAUCAAUUAAAUCUUAUAGCAAUGGAUGGAACCGACGAGGCUGGAGUUAUGGUGCUCCUUGGCGCACGAUCCUGCGGAGCGUGCGACUAUUUUGCUUCUGAUUGUUGCCAGACAAUGCCGAGCCACCCGUGCCAUCAUCGCUCGUCUCAAUUUUGCGAGAUCAACAAUCGCUGCUCAGCCUGCCGCCACAUACAGCAAGCAGCUCAUGAAGAAACACUACCACUGCGAGUCACCAAGUAUCAGGUCAGAAAAUGCAGGCCCGAGCUACUCUGAUUUCCAUAUGUGGCUAUCUCUGUCAUUCACCGUGGCAAAGCGAAACUGUGAUGUCAAUCCUAUGAAUACGUUGAACCAAGGUGAGCCAUUAUCGAUUCGCUGCUGAAGGUGUUUUCCUUUAUUUUGUUUCAUGUGGUUUAUCUUUUAUACUCUGAAAUUAUUUAGUUCUUGCAUUGAAUCGUAGUUUGUUUAUUGGCCUAUUAUAUCGAGUUGUAUGCAUAGAGAUGGAAGGGGGUGUGAGAAGCUAUGCUAAUUUUGCAGUGGUAGGCUGUGUCUUUCGAUUGUCUUUUAACAGUAAGUAUCAUUCUUUUAUUCCUGUGGCCUAAUCAGUGAGCUGUGAUGAACAUUUUUUCUUUGUAUUCAAACUAGCUUGAACGAUCAAAAAGGAUAUUGGUCCAUGUUAGCCUUUUAGCAUUGUGUAUUAACAUUGGCUGGGCCAUCUUUCCAAGUUGUAAAACUACACUUAGAUGCUUAACCUUCGCCAUGUGCCUCUAUAGCUGCUUCCGGUGGUAUUAUCUGAGAUGGCCGUGGAGAUCAAAGGAUCUAUGUACAACCUUGGUUCAAGGUCUGCCUUAUGUGCUGAAUUAUGGCAAGGACUAAAACAGGUUUGGGAGCUAGCCUACCAAGAAAAGAGGUGUUUCAACAGCCUUUAAUACUUGAUUUUGGUUCGAUUGCAGCAAUGCAAGGAACAAAUUGCUUUGCACCUUUCUUCCAUUCUUUGUAUUUCUUACAUAGAGAAGGAAAGGGCAGCUAUUAUCAACUUCUUUCUCUGUGGGUUAACUUCCGUGCUAGCCUUAUGCAUUUUCCCAUGCCGCAUAAAUAUUUUGAGGUAGUACUAAUUUUAAAUCUUGCAUCUUCCAGGGAUAGUUCAUGUCAAAUAUUAAUUCGAAUUUACGUUUUCAUUUACAGCUUCACUGUACUAUUGUUUCUGGAGCAUGUAACUUUCCAUGUAUUAAGUGGGAUUGCUCGAUGUUGAGUCCACCUGCUGAGCGGCGAGACAAAAGACGGGGGGUCGUGCGCCAACAAAAAUCCAUAUUGCAACUUUACAUAUUCCUAUGGACUUUCUGGUGCAAAUAAGGAUAGAGCUCUACUAUAUAUAUCCUGAACAAGAUCCAUAUUACAAUUGUACAAUCAUUCAUAGAAAAUUGAUUACUUAGUCUCAACUAAAAUUAUUUGUUGAAGUUGAUUUUCUAUCCUUGGAUAAUGGAUUCAUAUUGUGUGAGAUGUACUUUUUAAUGUCUAUGGAAACUGCUUACUAUUCACCUUUAA